GCAGAAGACGCGGCCGCCACGGCUCAGGCACACGCGGGCGCCCGGGGGCUGCGCGGCCGCGCCGCAGAAGGUGAAGGAACAGCGCGAGGCACGCAGCCGCCGCACCGUGGCGCGCACGAGCUCAGCCGGCCGGCGACCCCAGCGCGCCCACAGGUACAGGUAGCACAGCGUGAUGAGCAUGGCCGCGCCGCCGGCAGGGCGAGCCCGCCUUGCCCGCCCGCCCCAGCGCCCCAGGCCCGGCCCCGCCCCGGCCGGAAGGGCCGCGCCGCCCCCCCGGGCCAGGCGGCGCGGGGGUGGGGACGGCGGGGGAGGCGGGGACCCGGAAGGUGACGCGGGCAACUGGAGGCUGCGGCGGGAGGGGCGGGGGGGGGUGAGGCCGCGCCCGGCUGUGUGAUGGGGAGCUCCGGAGGCCGCGCCCAGGGCUGGUGGCGGCGGCGAGGGGCAGCGCUGGGGCGGGGGGUGUGCACCGGGGUCAGGGGACGCCGGGGCUGCACCCGGAGAGGGGGCUCGAGGGAGUGGAGGCCGGGGUGCGGGGCCGCGCCAGGGCUGAGGAGUGGGAUGGGUAUGUUGUGGAUGCGGGGGAGGGGAGGCUCCAGUGGCUGCCCGACCUGUUUAAGCCAAGUCCGGCCUCCCUUCCUUGGAGGGGUGGGAGGCGGAUUGAGGAGGGGGCUCUGCCUAUGUUCAUAGCUGCCAAGGCCAACCUUUACUAACCAGCAGCACACCGGGAGUCCCAGAGCGCUCCACAGCCGCUACCCAGUCGACUUGGGAAAAUAAGAUAAGGCCGUUUUUAUUAAAUUAUACUAAGCCUUCAUGCAAAAGAUUUUAAGGUCAAUCACAUACAUUCACGGGAUGCAAUAAUGUUUUUUUAAAUAAGGACAGGAAACAGAAAUUGAAGACAGAUAAGCACCAAGAAGGCUGCCUCUAAAAAGGCUGUGCCAGGAAGGCUCCCUAUGGUGUUCUUGCUACAUGUGGGUCAACAGUUUGACUGUAAGCAUCCUAACACCAGUGGGAAAAGGAAAACAUCACCAUGAUUUGGUGUUCUUGUCUCCAAGGGAAGCAUAAUUAGUCCUGACACAGAGGCUUCUCCCAUAGAACCUCAUUUCUUUAAAAGGCAUUAUGUAAAGAACGUGUUCUGAACAGCUGCGAAGCACAGCAAAGAAUUCCAUCCAGUGGCUUCCUAUUCUGGCCCUCGCUGAAAAUAGGUGGCAAGAUGCAGCAAAAGCAAUCAUGUACACCACGUCCAUGUCUUAAUCUAAGGAUAGUUUUUGUUUGUUUGUUUUUGAGACAGUCUCUCUCUGUCACCCAGGCUGGAGUGCAGUGGUGCAAUCUCGGCUCACUGCAAGCUCUGCCUCCUGGGUUCAAGCGAUUCUCCUGCCUCAGCCUCCCGAGUAGCUGGGAUUACAGGUGCCCGUCACCAUGCCUGGCUAACUUUUGUAUUUUUAGUAGAGACAGGGUUUCACCACGUUGGCCAGGGUGGUCUCGAACUCCUGACCUCAGGUGAUCCACCCGCCUCUGCCUCCCAAAGUGCUGGGAUUACAGGCGUGAACCACCGCGCCCAGCUAGGAUAGAUUUUUUUUAAGAGACAAGGUUUCGUUCUGUCGCCCAGGCUGGAGUGCCGUGGCAUAAUCACAGCUCUCUGCAGCUUCGAACUCUGAGCUGAAGUGAUCUUCCUGGCCACCAUGCCCAGCUAAUUUUUUAGAAAUUAUUUUUCAUAGAGACAGGGUCUCGCUGUGUCGCCCAGGCUGGUCUCAAACUCCUGGUCUCGAGCAGUCAAACUCCUGCCUGGAUCUCCCAAAGUGCUGGGAUUACAAGUUUGAGCCAUGGCGCCUAGCCAUAAAGAUAGAUUUUUAAAGUACCUUGGCCAUUUGUUCAUCUGCUUUAAUAUAGCUGCAUAGAACACCCACUCCCAGAACUUCAGACUUUUGGUUAGAUAACAUAGUAUAUUUUCCCCCUUGCAUAUAGCGAUAGAUUUUUAAAAGAGAGAAAAUCCAAAAAGAAAUAACUGGGCUUAAAAGCAAGCAUCUCUGUGGACCAGAAAUAGAAGAAAAACAAAGUGAUAAACAGGACUAAAGCCAUAUCCUACACUUCUCUACAGGACAGUGGCAGCCGGAAAGUGGGUUCCUGCAUGGUAACAAGACCUUAAAAUUGUGUCACUGGAGAAGGACGUGCAGUUCCCGCUGAGGAGAGACUUGGCCACUCCAGGACAACACAGGACUACAAGUCAGGAAUUUGAAGAUGAAAAGUGCUCAACAGUGAUAAAUCCUAAAUGUUUCACUGAACAACCUUUCAGA
RNAcentral lists this long non-coding RNA (2291 nucleotides) under Homo sapiens (human). RNAcentral describes it as "HSALNT0404062". The record is from RNAcentral. Lineage: Eukaryota; Metazoa; Chordata; Mammalia; Primates; Hominidae.